Molecule: unclassified non-coding RNA, 236 nt
Filed under: plant metagenome
Description: partial contains small subunit ribosomal RNA, internal transcribed spacer 1, and 5.8S ribosomal RNA
Source: RNAcentral
UUUCCGUAGGUGGACCUGCGGAAGGAUCAUUACUGAGUGAGGGCCCCUCGGGGUCCGACCUCCCACCCGUGUUUAACGAACCUUGUUGCUUCGGCGGGCCCGCCUCACGGCCGCCGGGGGGCAUCUGCCCCCGGGCCCGCGCCCGCCGAAGCCACCUGUGAACGCUGUCUGAAGUAUGCAGUCUGAGACAAUUAUUAAAUUAAUUAAAACUUUCAACAACGGAUCUCUUGGUUCCG